UUAUCUGAACCUUCGGGGAACGAUAACGGCGUCGAGCGGCGGACGGGUGAGUAAUGCCUAGGAAAUUGCCUUGAUGUGGGGGAUAACCAUUGGAAACGAUGGCUAAUACCGCAUGAUGCCUACGGGCCAAAGAGGGGGACCUUCGGGCCUCUCGCGUCAAGAUAUGCCUAGGUGGGAUUAGCUAGUUGGUGAGGUAAUGGCUCACCAAGGCGACGAUCCCUAGCUGGUCUGAGAGGAUGAUCAGCCACACUGGAACUGAGACACGGUCCAGACUCCUACGGGAGGCAGCAGUGGGGAAUAUUGCACAAUGGGCGCAAGCCUGAUGCAGCCAUGCCGCGUGUAUGAAGAAGGCCUUCGGGUUGUAAAGUACUUUCAGCAGUGAGGAAGGGGGUGUCGUUAAUAGCGGCAUYUCUUGACGUUAGCUGCAGAAGAAGCACCGGCUAACUCCGUGCCAGCAGCCGCGGUAAUACGGAGGGUGCGAGCGUUAAUCGGAAUUACUGGGCGUAAAGCGCAUGCAGGUGGUUUGUUAAGUCAGAUGUGAAAGCCCGGGGCUCAACCUCGGAACUGCAUUUGAAACUGGCAAACUAGAGUACUGUAGAGGGGGGUAGAAUUUCAGGUGUAGCGGUGAAAUGCGUAGAGAU
RNAcentral lists this ribosomal RNA (641 nucleotides) under Vibrio sp. RNAcentral describes it as "bacterial SSU rRNA". Lineage: Bacteria; Pseudomonadati; Pseudomonadota; Gammaproteobacteria; Vibrionales; Vibrionaceae. The record is from RNAcentral.